This 301-nucleotide ribosomal RNA is filed under the name uncultured bacterium. RNAcentral's name for it is "partial 16S ribosomal RNA". It matches the Rfam family "Bacterial small subunit ribosomal RNA", at positions 509 to 807 of the family's 1533-position model. The record is from RNAcentral.
CAGCAGCCACGGUAAUACGUAGGUGGCAAGCGUUGUCCGGAAUUAUUGGGCGUAAAGGGCUCGCAGGCGGUUUCUUAAGUCUGAUGUGAAAGCCCCCGGCUCAACCGGGGAGGGUCAUUGGAAACUGGGAAACUUGAGUGCAGAAGAGGAGAGUGGAAUUCCACGUGUAGCGGUGAAAUGCGUAGAGAUGUGGAGGAACACCAGUGGCGAAGGCGACUCUCUGGUCUGCAACUGACGCUGAGGAGCGAAAGCGUGGGGAGCGAACAGGAUUAGAUACCCCUGUAGUCCCUGUCUCUUAUAC